Molecule: non-coding RNA, 100 nt
Organism: Arvicanthis niloticus (Nile rat)
Lineage: Eukaryota; Metazoa; Chordata; Mammalia; Rodentia; Muridae
Source: RefSeq, a predicted model, not a curated record
AUCCAAAGUCUUCUGAGUGGCAGUGAUGGCAUGGGCCAUGAUCAUGAGCCCUUCCACAAUGCCAAAGUUGUCAUGGAUGACCUUGGCAGAUUGGAAGAGC